This is a non-coding RNA of Amanita rubescens, 81 nucleotides long. Lineage: Eukaryota; Fungi; Basidiomycota; Agaricomycetes; Agaricales; Amanitaceae. The record is from the annotation of a GenBank genome assembly.
GUCCGUAUCGAUUAGGGGUUAAAUCACCUCGUUGUGGAAAACACCCCCGAGGAGCCACUGGUUCGAUUCCAGUUACGGACA